CGGUAAUUCCAGCUCCAAUAGCGUAUACUAAAGUUGUUGCAGUUAAAAAGCUCGUAGUUGGAUUUCUGCGGGGACGGAGCGGCCGGUCGCAACUUGCGACUCGAGCUAGCGCUUUCCCCGCAUCCUGCCGCGAACCGUGCUACCAUUAGUUUGGUGGCGCUGGGGAUCGGCUCGAUUACUUUGAGAAAAAUAGAGUGUUCAAAGCAGGCCACACGCCUUGAAUAAGUUAGUAUGGAAUAAUGACUAAGGACUUUGGUUCUUUUCGUUGGUGUUCGGGACUGAAGUAAUGAUUGAUAGGGACAGUUGGGGCGGUCCGUAUUCCAAAGCGAGAGGUGAAAUUCUUAGACCUUCGGAAGACGAACAGCUGCGAAAGCGUUCCGCAAGGAUGUUCCCUUUGAUCAAGAACGAAAGUUGGGGGAUCGAAGACGAUCAGAUGCCGUCGUAGUCUCAACUAUAAACUAUACCAGCUAGGGAUCGGCCAACGUUUAAUUUAUCGACUUGGUCGGCACCUUAUGAGAAAUCAAAGCAUCUGGGUUCCGGGGGGAGUAUGGUCGCAAGGCUGAAACUUAAAGGAAUUGACGGAAGGGCACCACCAGCCGUGGAGCCUGUGGCUUAAUUUGACUCAACACGGGAAAACUUACCAGGUCCAGACAUAGGAAGGAUUGACAGAUUGAUAGCUCUUUCUUGAUUCUGUGGGUGGUGGUGCAUGGCCGUUUUUAGUCGGUGGAUGUGAUCUGUCUGCUUAAUUGCGUUAACGGACGAGACCCCAGCCUGCUAAAUAGCGCGGCCGAGCUUUGCUCGGUGCGAGCUUCUUAGAGGGACCAUGAUGCGCGAUAGCACAAGGAAGUUUGGGGCAACAACAGGUCUGUGAUGCCCUUAGAUGUUCUGGGCCGCACACGGGCUACACUGGCGCCUGCAACGAGCAUAUCAGCUGGCCCGAGAGGGUCUUGGCUAAUCUUUGGAACCGGCGCCGUGCUUGGGAUUGACCAUUGCAAUUGUUGGUCAUGCAACGAGGAAUGCCUUGUAAACGCGAGUCAUCAGCUCGCAUUGAAUACGUCCCUGCCCUUUGUACACACCGCCCGUCGCUCCUACCGAUGAAUGUUCCGAUGAAAUUUUCGGAGAGCACCAGAGAACGGGGCUCCGCCUUGCAGAUCUGGAGACUCAAAGUCACUUAAAUCUGAACAUUUCGAGGAAGGAGAAGUCGUAACAAGGUAACC
This 1217-nucleotide ribosomal RNA is filed under the name uncultured Rhizaria. Its description in RNAcentral is "SSU rRNA". It matches the Rfam family "Eukaryotic small subunit ribosomal RNA", at positions 577 to 1804 of the family's 1831-position model. The record is from RNAcentral.